AUAAGAGCCCGAUCCGCGGGACUCAGCCUUGGGGGCACUUCCUGUUGUCAGGCCUGGAAGUGCCGUCAAGGUUGAGCUUCGCUGACCGAGGAGGACGU
Molecule: microRNA precursor, 98 nt
Organism: Oryctolagus cuniculus (rabbit)
Lineage: Eukaryota; Metazoa; Chordata; Mammalia; Lagomorpha; Leporidae
Gene: ocu-mir-512a
Product: ocu-mir-512a
Source: Ensembl